UACGGGGGGGGCAAGCGUUGUUCGGAAUUACUGGGCGUAAAGGGCUCGUAGGUGGCCAACUAAGUCAGACGUGAAAUCCCCGGGCUCAACCCGGGAACUGCGUCCGAUACUGGGAGGCUUGAAUCCGGGAGAGGGAUGUGGAAUUCCAGGUGUAGCGGUGAAAUGCGUAGAUAUCUGGAGGAACACCGGUGGCGAAGGCGGCAUCCUGGACCGGUAUUGACGCUGAGGCGCGAAAGCCAGGGGAGCAAACGGG
RNAcentral lists this ribosomal RNA (253 nucleotides) under uncultured bacterium. RNAcentral's name for it is "partial 16S ribosomal RNA". It matches the Rfam family "Bacterial small subunit ribosomal RNA", at positions 524 to 776 of the family's 1533-position model. The record is from RNAcentral.